CUACGGGUUGCAGCAGUCGAGAAUCUUCCACAAUGCACGAAAGUGUGAUGGAGCGACGUCGCGUGCGAGAUGAAGGCCUUCGGGUCGUAAAUCGUUUUUAUAAGGGAAGAAUUUAGAUGACAUUACCUUAUGAAUAAGGGGUUGCUAAUUGCGUGCCAGCAGCAGCGGUAAUACGCAAACCCCAAGCGUUAUCCGGAUUUAUUGGGCGUAAAGGGUGGGUAGGCGGAUAUAGCAGUCAGUCGUUAAAUCACUGGGCUCAACCCAGUAAUCGCGAUUGAAACACUAUGUCUAGAGAUAAGUAGAGGUCAACGGAACUCAUGGUGUAGCAGUGAAAUGCGUUGAUAUCAUGGGGAACACCAAAGGCGAAGGCAGUUGACUGGGCUUUAUCUGACGCUGAGCCACGAAAGCGUGGGGAGUGAAGGGGAUUAGAUACCCGCGUAGUC
RNAcentral lists this ribosomal RNA (443 nucleotides) under uncultured bacterium. RNAcentral describes it as "partial 16S ribosomal RNA". It matches the Rfam family "Bacterial small subunit ribosomal RNA", at positions 339 to 795 of the family's 1533-position model. The record is from RNAcentral.